UACAGAGGUCUCAAGCGUUGUUCGGAUUCACUGGGUUUAAAGGGUGCGUAGGUGGGCAAGUAAGUCAGUGGUGAAAUCUCCGGGCUUAACCCGGAAACUGCCAUUGAUACUAUUUGUCUUGAAUACUGUGGAGGUCAGCGGAAUAUGUCAUGUAGCGGUGAAAUGCUUAGAUAUGACAUAGAACACCAAUUGCGAAGGCAGCUGGCUACACAAAUAUUGACACUGAGGCACGAAAGCGUGGGGAUCAAACAGG
This 253-nucleotide ribosomal RNA is filed under the name uncultured bacterium. Its description in RNAcentral is "partial 16S ribosomal RNA". It matches the Rfam family "Bacterial small subunit ribosomal RNA", at positions 524 to 776 of the family's 1533-position model. The record is from RNAcentral.